AAGUAGGGAAAGUGAAUCAUACCGAGCUGGAAAUGUCUCUCUUUCACUUAACAGAUUCCGGUCAGAACUUCUUCAACAUUUCUUCACCAGACGAUGGCAUCACAGUAUUUUCAUCCACCAAUGUGGAUGAGAAUGGCAGGAGAACACGCCUGUUGCUCCUUGGUGCGAGAAAAGACUCCCUGACCCAGGCUGAGGAAAGCAAAUUUAGGCAGCUGGCUGUGGAAAAUGGCAUCCCGGAGGAAAACAUAGUGAAUCUGGCUGAUUCAGGUAGGGUCACCCCACUGCCUCAAGAUAUGUCUGGAAU
This 304-nucleotide long non-coding RNA is filed under the name Fukomys damarensis (Damara mole-rat). RNAcentral's name for it is "lncRNA (ENSFDAG00000031690.1)". The record is from RNAcentral. Lineage: Eukaryota; Metazoa; Chordata; Mammalia; Rodentia; Bathyergidae.